This 2930-nucleotide ribosomal RNA is filed under the name Escherichia coli. RNAcentral describes it as "bacterial LSU rRNA". It matches the Rfam family "Bacterial large subunit ribosomal RNA". The record is from RNAcentral. Lineage: Bacteria; Pseudomonadati; Pseudomonadota; Gammaproteobacteria; Enterobacterales; Enterobacteriaceae.
GGGUUGUGAGGUUAAGCGACUAAGCGUACACGGUGGAUGCCCUGGCAGUCAGAGGCGAUGAAGGACGUGCUAAUCUGCGAUAAGCGUCGGUAAGGUGAUAUGAACCGUUAUAACCGGCGAUUUCCGAAUGGGGAAACCCAGUGUGUUUCGACACACUAUCAUUAACUGAAUCCAUAGGUUAAUGAGGCGAACCGGGGGAACUGAAACAUCUAAGUACCCCGAGGAAAAGAAAUCAACCGAGAUUCCCCCAGUAGCGGCGAGCGAACGGGGAGCAGCCCAGAGCCUGAAUCAGUGUGUGUGUUAGUGGAAGCGUCUGGAAAGGCGCGCGAUACAGGGUGACAGCCCCGUACACAAAAAUGCACAUGCUGUGAGCUCGAUGAGUAGGGCGGGACACGUGGUAUCCUGUCUGAAUAUGGGGGGACCAUCCUCCAAGGCUAAAUACUCCUGACUGACCGAUAGUGAACCAGUACCGUGAGGGAAAGGCGAAAAGAACCCCGGCGAGGGGAGUGAAAAAGAACCUGAAACCGUGUACGUACAAGCAGUGGGAGCACGCUUAGGCGUGUGACUGCGUACCUUUUGUAUAAUGGGUCAGCGACUUAUAUUCUGUAGCAAGGUUAACCGAAUAGGGGAGCCGAAGGGAAACCGAGUCUUAACUGGGCGUUAAGUUGCAGGGUAUAGACCCGAAACCCGGUGAUCUAGCCAUGGGCAGGUUGAAGGUUGGGUAACACUAACUGGAGGACCGAACCGACUAAUGUUGAAAAAUUAGCGGAUGACUUGUGGCUGGGGGUGAAAGGCCAAUCAAACCGGGAGAUAGCUGGUUCUCCCCGAAAGCUAUUUAGGUAGCGCCUCGUGAAUUCAUCUCCGGGGGUAGAGCACUGUUUCGGCAAGGGGGUCAUCCCGACUUACCAACCCGAUGCAAACUGCGAAUACCGGAGAAUGUUAUCACGGGAGACACACGGCGGGUGCUAACGUCCGUCGUGAAGAGGGAAACAACCCAGACCGCCAGCUAAGGUCCCAAAGUCAUGGUUAAGUGGGAAACGAUGUGGGAAGGCCCAGACAGCCAGGAUGUUGGCUUAGAAGCAGCCAUCAUUUAAAGAAAGCGUAAUAGCUCACUGGUCGAGUCGGCCUGCGCGGAAGAUGUAACGGGGCUAAACCAUGCACCGAAGCUGCGGCAGCGACACUAUGUGUUGUUGGGUAGGGGAGCGUUCUGUAAGCCUGUGAAGGUGUACUGUGAGGUAUGCUGGAGGUAUCAGAAGUGCGAAUGCUGACAUAAGUAACGAUAAAGCGGGUGAAAAGCCCGCUCGCCGGAAGACCAAGGGUUCCUGUCCAACGUUAAUCGGGGCAGGGUGAGUCGACCCCUAAGGCGAGGCCGAAAGGCGUAGUCGAUGGGAAACAGGUUAAUAUUCCUGUACUUGGUGUUACUGCGAAGGGGGGACGGAGAAGGCUAUGUUGGCCGGGCGACGGUUGUCCCGGUUUAAGCGUGUAGGCUGGUUUUCCAGGCAAAUCCGGAAAAUCAAGGCUGAGGCGUGAUGACGAGGCACUACGGUGCUGAAGCAACAAAUGCCCUGCUUCCAGGAAAAGCCUCUAAGCAUCAGGUAACAUCAAAUCGUACCCCAAACCGACACAGGUGGUCAGGUAGAGAAUACCAAGGCGCUUGAGAGAACUCGGGUGAAGGAACUAGGCAAAAUGGUGCCGUAACUUCGGGAGAAGGCACGCUGAUAUGUAGGUGAAGUCCCUCGCGGAUGGAGCUGAAAUCAGUCGAAGAUACCAGCUGGCUGCAACUGUUUAUUAAAAACACAGCACUGUGCAAACACGAAAGUGGACGUAUACGGUGUGACGCCUGCCCGGUGCCGGAAGGUUAAUUGAUGGGGUCAGCGCAAGCGAAGCUCUUGAUCGAAGCCCCGGUAAACGGCGGCCGUAACUAUAACGGUCCUAAGGUAGCGAAAUUCCUUGUCGGGUAAGUUCCGACCUGCACGAAUGGCGUAAUGAUGGCCAGGCUGUCUCCACCCGAGACUCAGUGAAAUUGAACUCGCUGUGAAGAUGCAGUGUACCCGCGGCAAGACGGAAAGACCCCGUGAACCUUUACUAUAGCUUGACACUGAACAUUGAGCCUUGAUGUGUAGGAUAGGUGGGAGGCUUUGAAGUGUGGACGCCAGUCUGCAUGGAGCCGACCUUGAAAUACCACCCUUUAAUGUUUGAUGUUCUAACGUUGACCCGUAAUCCGGGUUGCGGACAGUGUCUGGUGGGUAGUUUGACUGGGGCGGUCUCCUCCUAAAGAGUAACGGAGGAGCACGAAGGUUGGCUAAUCCUGGUCGGACAUCAGGAGGUUAGUGCAAUGGCAUAAGCCAGCUUGACUGCGAGCGUGACGGCGCGAGCAGGUGCGAAAGCAGGUCAUAGUGAUCCGGUGGUUCUGAAUGGAAGGGCCAUCGCUCAACGGAUAAAAGGUACUCCGGGGAUAACAGGCUGAUACCGCCCAAGAGUUCAUAUCGACGGCGGUGUUUGGCACCUCGAUGUCGGCUCAUCACAUCCUGGGGCUGAAGUAGGUCCCAAGGGUAUGGCUGUUCGCCAUUUAAAGUGGUACGCGAGCUGGGUUUAGAACGUCGUGAGACAGUUCGGUCCCUAUCUGCCGUGGGCGCUGGAGAACUGAGGGGGGCUGCUCCUAGUACGAGAGGACCGGAGUGGACGCAUCACUGGUGUUCGGGUUGUCAUGCCAAUGGCACUGCCCGGUAGCUAAAUGCGGAAGAGAUAAGUGCUGAAAGCAUCUAAGCACGAAACUUGCCCCGAGAUGAGUUCUCCCUGACUCCUUGAGAGUCCUGAAGGAACGUUGAAGACGACGACGUUGAUAGGCCGGGUGUGUAAGCGCAGCGAUGCGUUGAGCUAACCGGUACUAAUGAACCGUGAGGCUUAACCUUACAACGCCGAAGGUGUUU